GUCAGGAUGGCUGCGCGGUCUAAGGCGGCAGACUCAAGGAAAACCUUCCCCUGCUGUAGGGCUGAGUGUUCUGGUCCACGAAUGCGGGCUGGGUUCGAAUCCCACUUCUGACA
Molecule: transfer RNA, 113 nt
Filed under: Araneus ventricosus
Lineage: Eukaryota; Metazoa; Arthropoda; Arachnida; Araneae; Araneidae
Description: tRNA-Leu
Source: RNAcentral